UGGCUUAGUUGGUAGAGCAUGGUGUGUGCAACGCCAAGGUUGUGGGUUCGAUUCCCAC
Molecule: transfer RNA, 58 nt
Filed under: Salmo salar (Atlantic salmon)
Lineage: Eukaryota; Metazoa; Chordata; Actinopteri; Salmoniformes; Salmonidae
Rfam family: tRNA
About the family: Transfer RNA (tRNA) molecules are approximately 80 nucleotides in length. Their secondary structure includes four short double-helical elements and three loops (D, anti-codon, and T loops).
Source: Rfam by way of RNAcentral